Molecule: long non-coding RNA, 1467 nt
Organism: Mustela lutreola (European mink)
Lineage: Eukaryota; Metazoa; Chordata; Mammalia; Carnivora; Mustelidae
Exons: 8
Source: RefSeq, a predicted model, not a curated record
CAAGUUCACAUUUUCCUUGGUACCUCUUCUUCUCCCUCAUUCUUGGGGAACUCAGCACCCAUGGGAGGGGUCUAACAUUCUGACAUCAAGGGUCUUAAGCUACCAACUCUUAAAGAUUUCCUAUGCAACUACCAACAUUAUUUGGCAGCAUGGUGAGGAAAUCAGAACAACUUUUCUAAACAUGAACUUUAGAAUGAGGAUUUCUAUGCUCCAGACUCCUUCACCUUGUGGCCUCCUAUAGUACCUGCUGGGCCAAUCUUCAGUCUUGGGUUCCUGCCUCACAUCAAGACGAUGCUCAUAACUUUGGUUGUCCCAAGUAACUCUGUGUUUCUUUAAGAAAAAUCGUGGAUGUCUUGGUGGUUCAGUUGGCUAAGCAUCUGUCUUCAGCUCAGAGAAAUAACUUGCAGGAUGUUCAUCCGAAGGUUAAAAGUGGCUAUUUUGGAGUAGUGGGAAUUUUUGUGAUUUUCUGUCCAGCGCAAAGUUCAGAGAAGAGGAAAGAAAGGAAGGAACGCAGACAAGCCUGCCGGCGGUGGGGAAUUAACAAGGAUUCCUGUGAAAGGACAUGCCACGACCUAAGUCACGCUAUAGGAACACAGCAGUUUCAGGCAGCGUUUUAGAAAGGAAUACAUGGUUUCUAAAUGCAAUUCAUCUUUUCUGCGUACAAAAUCGUCUCUCAAGCAUUUAACACUUCAAUUGACACAGAAUGAGAAAAAUGGAAUCAUUUUGGAAGCCCAAGAAAGAAAACUAUCCCGUAUUUGCUAAUUUGCAGCAUUCUCAGAGACUUUAUACACAAAUAAUGAGAAUCAACUGGGAUCUUAGACUUUAGAAGAAGAAGAAAGAGCAACUGGUCCUCAAUGGAUUGGGUGAUGCCCACCCACAAAGGAGGAAGCAAUCUAUUGAUUCUACUAAUCCUAAUAUGAAUGUCAUCCAGAAACACUUCACAGACAUCCUUGGAAAUGUUUAGAGGCACCUGGGUGGCUCAGUCGGUUGAAAAUCUGCCUUCAGCUCAGGUUAUGAUCCCAGGGUCCUGGGAUUGAGCCUAGCAUCAUGCUCCCUGGACACUGGUGGGCAGAAAUGAAGAAGCCCAGGGGUCCCAGAAGCUGGCUGGGAUCCCUUGUGUAGAUCCUUAAAGACCAGCAUGUCUGAUGGCCCAAGUUUGGGUUUUGUUUUUCUGACACAAAGCAGAGAAGAACAUUGAUUCCAGGUCCUGAUCUCAGGGUUGCGAGAUCGAGCGCUGCAUCAGGCUCCCCCACCUCAGCAAGGAAUUUGCUCAAGAUUCUCUCUCUCCCUCUUCCAUCCCCCACCCUCUCCGUCUUUCUCUCAAAUAAAUAAAUAAAUAAAUAAAUACAUGUUUAUAAAAAGCUCUUAUUUAAUCAACAACUAUUUUUGAGCAUCUGUUAUGGGCUAGGUCUUGUGCUAUUGUAAAGAAUACAAGGAUAAAUAAACAUACAGUCUUGUCUGCAGAGA